RNAcentral lists this ribosomal RNA (301 nucleotides) under uncultured bacterium. Its description in RNAcentral is "partial 16S ribosomal RNA". It matches the Rfam family "Bacterial small subunit ribosomal RNA", at positions 509 to 807 of the family's 1533-position model. The record is from RNAcentral.
CAGCAGCCGCGGUAAUACGAAGGGGGCUAGCGUUGUUCGGAUUUACUGGGCGUAAAGCGCACGUAGGCGGACUUUUAAGUCAGGGGUGAAAUCCCGGGGCUCAACCCCGGAACUGCCUUCGAUACUGGAAGUCUUGAGUAUGGUAGAGGUGAGUGGAAUUCCGAGUGUAGAGGUGAAAUUCGUAGAUAUUCGGAGGAACACCAGUGGCGAAGGCGGCUCACUGGACUGGUAUUGACGCUGAGGUGCGAAAGCGUGGGGAGCAAACAGGAUUAGAUACCCCGGUAGUCCCUGUCUCUUAUAC